This is a long non-coding RNA of Amblyraja radiata (thorny skate), 146 nucleotides long. RefSeq lists it as uncharacterized. The record is from RefSeq and is a predicted model, not a curated record. Lineage: Eukaryota; Metazoa; Chordata; Chondrichthyes; Rajiformes; Rajidae. The transcript has 3 exons.
UUCCUCUCAAACUCCAAAGACGUACAGGUUUGUAGAUUAAUUGGCUUGGUAUCAUUGUAAAUUGUCCCAAGUGUGUGUAGGAUAGCGUAAGUGUGUGGUGAUAGCUGGUCAGAGCAGACUCUGUAGACCAAAGUGCCUGUUUCUGU